Molecule: ribosomal RNA, 1185 nt
Filed under: Runella aurantiaca
Lineage: Bacteria; Pseudomonadati; Bacteroidota; Cytophagia; Cytophagales; Spirosomataceae
Description: bacterial LSU rRNA
Rfam family: Bacterial large subunit ribosomal RNA
Source: RNAcentral
CCUGUAAAUGUAAAAAUUAUCAACGUAGCAGUAUCCUGAGUAGGUGGGGACAGGAGGAAUCCCCUCUGAAUUCGGCGGCACCAUCCGCCAAGGCUAAAUACGACUGAGAGACCGAUAGUGAACGAGUACCGUGAGGGAAAGGUGAAAAGUACCGGGAGUACCGGGGUGAAAUAGAACCUGAAACCAUGCGCUUACAAGCGGGCGGAGCCCUAUGGGGUGACGCCGUGCCUUUUGCAUAAUGAGCCUACGAGUUGUUGUUGCUGGCAAGGUUAAGCAUUUAAGAUGCGCAGCCGAAGCGAAAGCGAGUCUGAACAGGGCGCUUAGUCAGUAAUAGCAGACGCGAAACUUGGUGAUCUACCCGUGGUCAGGUUGAAGUGUGGGUAACACUACAUGGAGGACCGAACCAGUAAACGUUGAAAAGUUUUUGGAUGAACUGCGGGUAGGGGUGAAAGGCCAAUCAAACUGAGAAAUAGCUCGUACUCCCCGAAAUGUUUUUAGGAACAGCGUUGUGGCGAGUCAGUGUCAGGUAGAGCUACCGAUAGGAUGCGGGGGAGUCAAAUCCUACCAAAUUCUGACGAACUCCGAAUGGGCACUGAUAUACACAGCAGUGAGGGCCGGGGUGCUAAGGUCACGGUCCGAGAGGGGAACAACCCAGAGCAACCGCUAAGGUCCCAAAGUAUAUACUAAGUUGAACAAAGGAAGUCCGACUGCCGAGACAGCCAGGAUGUUAGCUUGGAAGCAGCUAUACAUUUAAAGAGUGCGUAACAGCUCACUGGUCGAGCGGGGCGGGCGUCGAUAAUAAACGGGCAUCAAGUAUAUCACCGAAGCGAUGCGAUAGUAAUAUCGGUAGGGGAGCAUUCCAACAUCAGCGAAGCUGUAGCGUGAGCUAUGGUGGAGAGGUUGGAAAAGCAAAUGUAGGCAUAAGUAACGAUAAUGUAUGUGAGAACCAUACACACCGUAAAGCUAAGGAUUCCUCAGCUAUGUCAAUCAACUGAGGGUUAGUCGGGGCCUAAGGGGAAGGCGAAGGCCGCACCUGACGGACAGCAGGUUAAUAUUCCUGCACCUGAUGCAAGUGUGAAGCGCACGGGGUAGAGGAGGAUGUACGAAGUGACGGAAGUCUUCGUUGAGCAGAGUCUACGGACGAAGCGAACAUCUGAACUGGCCUCCAAGAAAAACCGCUGAAAC